Molecule: ribosomal RNA, 341 nt
Filed under: uncultured Pseudomonadota bacterium
Lineage: Bacteria; Pseudomonadati; Pseudomonadota
Description: bacterial SSU rRNA
Rfam family: Bacterial small subunit ribosomal RNA
Source: RNAcentral
AACGAACGCUGGCGGCGUGCCUAACACAUGCAAGUCGUACGAGAAAUCCUGGGCAACUGGGAGAGUAAAGUGGCGCACGGGUGAGUAACGCGUGGGUAACCUACCCUUGAAUUGGGGAUAACUCCUCGAAAGGGGAGUUAAUACCGAAUAAUAUUCCGAUUCCCACGGGAGUUGGAAUCAAAGGUGGCCUCUGCAUGCAAGCUAUCAUUUAAGGAUGGGCCCGCGUACCAUUAGCUAGUUGGCAGGGUAAUGGCCUACCAAGGCAACGAUGGUUAGCUGGUCUGAGAGGAUGGCCAGCCACACUGGAACUGAGACACGGUCCAGACUCCUACGGGAGGCAG